This 273-nucleotide ribosomal RNA is filed under the name uncultured Bacteroides sp. RNAcentral's name for it is "partial 16S ribosomal RNA". It matches the Rfam family "Bacterial small subunit ribosomal RNA", at positions 70 to 339 of the family's 1533-position model. The record is from RNAcentral. Lineage: Bacteria; Pseudomonadati; Bacteroidota; Bacteroidia; Bacteroidales; Bacteroidaceae.
CAUGGUCUUAGCUUGCUAAGGCCGAUGGCGACCGGCGCACGGGUGAGUAACACGUAUCCAACCUGCCGUCUACUCUUGGACAGCCUUCUGAAAGGAAGAUUAAUACAAGAUGGCAUCAUGAGUCCGCAUGUUCACAUGAUUAAAGAAUUUCGGUUGUCGAUGGGGAUGCGUUCCAUUAGGCAGUUGGCGGGGUAACGGCCCACCAAACCAACGAUGGAUAGGGGUUCUGAGAGGAAGGUCCCCACAUUGGUACUGAGACACGGACCAAACUCC